This 453-nucleotide ribosomal RNA is filed under the name uncultured bacterium. Its description in RNAcentral is "bacterial SSU rRNA". It matches the Rfam family "Bacterial small subunit ribosomal RNA", at positions 29 to 526 of the family's 1533-position model. The record is from RNAcentral.
AACGAACGCUGGCGGCAGGCUUAACACAUGCAAGUCGAACGCACCUUUCGGGGUGAGUGGCAGACGGGUGAGUAACACGUGGGAACGUACCCUUUUGUUCGGAAUAACCCUGGGAAACUAGGGCUAAUACCGGAUACGCCCUUUUUGGGGAAAGGUUUACUGCAGAAGGAUCGGCCCGCGUCCGAUUAGCUUGUUGGUGGGGUAAUGGCCUACCAAGGCUUCGAUCGGUAGCUGGUCUGAGAGGAUGACCAGCCACAUUGGGACUGAGACACGGCCCAAACUCCUACGGGAGGCAGCAGUGGGGAAUAUUGGACAAUGGGCGCAAGCCUGAUCCAGCCAUGCCGCGUGAGUGAUGACGGCCUUAGGGUUGUAAAGCUCUUUUACCUGGGAAGAUCAUGACGGUACCAGGAGAAUAAGCCCCGGCUAACUUCGUGCCAGCCGCCGCAGUAAAAC